Molecule: non-coding RNA, 469 nt
Organism: Ictidomys tridecemlineatus (thirteen-lined ground squirrel)
Lineage: Eukaryota; Metazoa; Chordata; Mammalia; Rodentia; Sciuridae
Source: RefSeq, a predicted model, not a curated record
GCCAUUUGACUUUUGCUCUGCCCAUGUGUUGGGCAGGUCUUGGGCAGCUUUACUAGAGGGUUAAUCAUCCACGCUACAGAGGAGAGACCUUUCUGAAGCUUUCACCUGGUGCAUCCUAGCCAUCAGAGUGUGUGAUGAGCUUGGGGUCCUGCUGAGAUGUCACAGACCCCUCUGCCUCAGUCCCCAUGAACACCAACUUGAGCAGACAUCCUGCUUUGCAGGAAAGAAAGGCUAUGGUGCAAAGGAGCUGUUGUUCACUGUUCACUUCUCCCAACAAGCAAUUAAACUGUGAUGGAAACCAAGCUGCACCUGCCAACAGGCACAGUCCUACCCACAGUGCACAUGUGGGGCAGGUUCUACCCAGGGCUUCGGUGCCAGCUGCCCUAGGCUUAUGUAUGGUGCCAUUCAUUUGUUUGAUGUGUUACUGAAUCUGCCUGGGUAUUAAAAGAUUUGAAUCUUAUUUUACAGA